GCGCAGUCAGAAGCCCGGCGCGUCACUGAGGGCGAGCUCCCAGACCGUCUUUUUUGGACAAAAUGAGGACAUGCUCGCAAAGAAACUACCAACUUGUGAAAUCCCUCAGGAGAUACCAUGUCACCAACCCAAGCCCGCAGAAAAGCAGCUGCGGUGGGCGUUGAAGAACCUGUGCUCCUUCAGAUGAAAUGAUAGAGACACCAGAACUAAAAAUGUGAAAUCUGCUUUAAGACAAAAGACUUCUUCAGGCAAAGAACUGCAUUACAAAGUUUCUAACACUCUUCAAGUGAAUGCUCCCCAGAAUUUCACGUUUAGAAGAACAUGUGAACAAGACAGAAAGUUUGAAAGAAGACAGGGAAACUGUCCUUGAAAAAAACAACACAAGUGUGAGGAAUGUGGCAAAGUCUUCAGUCAGAGCUCAGCCCUUAAUCUACAUCAGAGAAUCUACAGUGGAGAGAAACCUUAUACAUGUGAAGUGUGUGCAACGUCUUUCAGCUUAAGUACAGUCCUGAUUCAGCAUCGAAGAAUCCAUACUGGGGAAAAACCCUUCAAAUGUCAUGAAUGUGGGAAAGCCUUUAGUCAGAGCUCAGUCCUUAACAUUAUACAUGUGACAUGUGUGCAGAGUCUUUCAGCCAAAGUACAGUCCUAAUUCAGCAUCGAAGAAUCCAU
Molecule: long non-coding RNA, 669 nt
Organism: Bos taurus (domestic cattle)
Lineage: Eukaryota; Metazoa; Chordata; Mammalia; Artiodactyla; Bovidae
Source: Ensembl